RNAcentral lists this ribosomal RNA (491 nucleotides) under uncultured bacterium. RNAcentral describes it as "bacterial SSU rRNA". It matches the Rfam family "Bacterial small subunit ribosomal RNA", at positions 30 to 518 of the family's 1533-position model. The record is from RNAcentral.
UGAACGCUGGCGGCGUGCUUAACACAUGCAAGUCGAACGAGGACCCUUGAAGGAGUUUCGGACAACGGAUAGGAAUCCUUAGUGGCGGACGGGUGAGUAACGCGUGAGGGAACCUGCCUUGGAGAGGGGAUAACACAGUGAAAAUUGUGCUAAUACCGCAUGAAGCAGUUGAGUCGCAUGGCUCUGACUGCCAAAGAUUUAUCGCUCUGAGAUGGCCUCGCGUCUGAUUAGCUGGUUGCGGGGUAACGGCCACCAAGGCGACGAUCAGUAGCCGGACUGAGAGGUUGGCCGGCCACAUUGGGACUGAGACACGGCCCAGACUCCUACGGGAGGCAGCAGUGGGGAAUAUUGGGCAAUGGGCGCAAGCCCUGACCCAGCAACGCCGCGUGAAGGAAGUAAGGCUUUCGGGUUAGUAAACUUCUUUUAUGAGGGACGAAGGAAGUGACGGUACCUCAUGAAUAAGCUCCGGCUAACUACGUGCCAGCCGCGGC